Molecule: ribosomal RNA, 497 nt
Filed under: uncultured bacterium
Lineage: Bacteria
Description: partial 16S ribosomal RNA
Rfam family: Bacterial small subunit ribosomal RNA
Source: RNAcentral
GAUGAACGCUGGCGGCGUGCCUAAUACAUGCAAGUCGAGCGAGCAGACGAGGAGCUUGCUCCUCUGACGUUAGCGGCGGACGGGUGAGUAACACGUGGAUAACCUACCUAUAAGACUGGGAUAACUUCGGGAAACCGGAGCUAAUACCGGAUAAUAUAUUGAACCGCAUGGUUCAAUAGUGAAAGACGGUUUUGCUGUCACUUAUAGAUGGAUCCGCGCCGCAUUAGCUAGUUGGUAAGGUAACGGCUUACCAAGGCGACGAUGCGUAGCCGACCUGAGAGGGUGAUCGGCCACACUGGAACUGAGACACGGUCCAGACUCCUACGGGAGGCAGCAGUAGGGAAUCUUCCGCAAUGGGCGAAAGCCUGACGGAGCAACGCCGCGUGAGUGAUGGAGGUCUUCGGAUCGUAAAACUCUGUUAUUAGGGAAGAACAAAUGUGUAAGUAACUAUGCACGUCUUGACGGUACCUAAUCAGAAAGCCACGGCUAACUACGUG